GCAGGGAUGGCAGAGCCUGGUCGAUUGCGUCAGACUCAAGAUCUGAUGACUUAGGUCUUCGGGGGUUCGUGCGAAUUUUCAAUUGAAAAUUUGCAGCCCAAAAAUCCCUCUCCCUGCA
This 118-nucleotide transfer RNA is filed under the name Microcaldota archaeon. RNAcentral describes it as "tRNA-Leu". It matches the Rfam family "tRNA". Rfam says of the family: Transfer RNA (tRNA) molecules are approximately 80 nucleotides in length. Their secondary structure includes four short double-helical elements and three loops (D, anti-codon, and T loops). Lineage: Archaea; Nanobdellati; Microcaldota. The record is from RNAcentral.